Molecule: long non-coding RNA, 1726 nt
Organism: Oncorhynchus keta (chum salmon)
Lineage: Eukaryota; Metazoa; Chordata; Actinopteri; Salmoniformes; Salmonidae
Exons: 6
Source: RefSeq, a predicted model, not a curated record
CGGCCUGUCCUGGGAUGUUACAUUGAUAACAGAGGUCUUCUGGUCUCUGGUCUACCAGCAUCGGUCUCUGAUGGUAGAGAUGUCUGGGUCGGCCUGUCCUGGGAUGUUACAUUGAUAACAGAGGUCUUCUGGUCUCUGGUCUACCAGCAUCGGUCUCUGAUGGUAGAGAUGUCUGGGUCUGCCUGUCCUGGGAUGUUACAUUGAUAACAGAGGUCUUCUGGUCUCUGGUCUACCAGCAUCGGUCUCUGAUGGUAGAGAUGUCUGGGUCUGCCUGUCCUGGGAUGUUACAUUGAUAACAGAGGUCUUCUGGUCUCUGGUCUACCAGCAUCGGUCUCUGAUGGUAGAGAUGUCUGGGUCUGCCUGUCCUGGGACUUUACAUUGAUAACAGAGGUCUUCUGGUCUCUGGUCUACCAGCAUCGGUCUCUGAUGGUAGAGAUGUCUGGGUCGGCCUGUCCUGGGACUUCACAUUGAUAACAGAGGUCUUCUGGUCUCUGGUCUACCAGCAUCGGUCUCUGAUGGUAGAGAUGUCUGGGUCGGCCUGUCCUGGGAUGUUACAUUGAUAACAGAGGUCUUCUGGUCUACCAGCAUCGGUCUCUGAUGGUAGAGAUGUCUGGGUCGGCCUGUCCUGGGAUGUUACAUUGAUAACAGAGGUCUUCUGGUCUCUGGUCUACCAGCAUCGGUCUCUGAUGGUAGAGAUGUCUGGGUCGGCCUGUCCUGGGAUGUUACAUUGAUAACAGAGGUCUUCUGGUCUCUGGUCUACCAGCAUCGGUCUCUGAUGGUAGAGAUGUCUGGGUCGGCCUGUCCUGGGACUUCACAUUGAUAACAGAGGUCUUCUGGUCUCUGGUCUACCAGCAUCGGUCUCUGAUGGUAGAGAUGUCUGGGUCGGCCUGUCCUGGGAUGUUACAUUGAUAACAGAGGUCUUCUGGUCUCUGGUCUACCAGCAUCGGUCUCUGAUGGUAGAGAUGUCUGGGUCUGCCUGUCCUGGGAUGUUACAUUGAUAACAGAGGUCUUCUGGUCUCUGGUCUACCAGCAUCGGUCUCUGAUGGUAGAGAUGUCUGGGUCUGCCUGUCCUGGGACUUCACAUUGAUAACAGAGGUCUUCUGGUCUCUGGUCUACCAGCAUCGGUCUCUGAUGGUAGAGAUGUCUGGGUCGGCCUGUCCUGGGAUGUUACAUUGAUAACAGAGGUCUUCUGGUCUUCUGGUCUACCAGCAUCGGUCUCUGAUGGUAGAGAUGUCUGGGUCGGCCUGUCCUGGGAUGUCACAUUGAUAACAGAGGUCUUCUGGUCUUCUGGUCUACCAGCAUCGGUCUCUGAUGGUAGAGAUGUCUGGGUCGGCCUGUCCUGGGACUUUACAUUGAUAACAGAGGUCUUCUGGUCUCUGGUCUACCAGCAUCGGUCUCUGAUGGUAGAGAUGUCUGGGUCGGCCUGUCCUGGGAUGUUACAUUGAUAACAGAGGUCUUCUGGUCUCUGGUCUACCAGCAUCGGUCUCUGAUGGUAGAGAUGUCUGGGUCGGCCUGUCCUGGGACUUCACAUUGAUAACAGAGAUCUUCUGGUCUUCUGGUCUACCAGCAUCGGUCUCUGAUGGUAGAGAUGUCUGGGUCGGCCUGUCCUGGGAUGUUACAUUGAUAACAGAGGUCUUCUGGUCUCUGGUCUACCAGCAUCGGUCUCUGAUGGUAGAGAUGUCUGGGUCUGCCUGUCCUGGGACUUCACAUUGAUAACAGAGGUCUU